AAGCAGGCUCCUUAGAAGAUAAGAUGGCCCCUUACUCUCUCUAACAAGAGACUUCCAAGAGUUAUUUCUCUCUGAUCUUGUUCCAGGAAUGUGUCUUCCAAGAAGCGAGUCUGGAUUCAACUUAUGUCGACUCCUGGCCUGUCUCCAAGAUUCAGGGAUCUGCUCAGCAGACCUGAGCAAUCCAGUAGGCAUCUGGGCUCUGGAAGGAAGUACAAGCCAGCCAGUUCCAGCAGCUUUUUCUCAAAGCCCGGAGCAGGCUCUGCUUCUGUAGCAGCUACUAGCAUUUUCACGAUGAUAAACUGAGGCCACUCAUCUCAGGUCUGACUGAUGAGUAGCUCAGAAUCACUCCAGCAGGAAAGCCUCCUGGACUCAGGCCGCCUAUGUGAACACACACACCCAUUCCACUCUCUCCUGGCCAGCUUGAUUUCACUCUUCUUAUUUUUCUUGGGCUAAGAAAAGACAUUCUUUGCUGGAUAUAAAUAUCAUGCAUUUCAGAAAGUUCACAUACAAAAAUAACAUGGAUUUGGGAUCAUUACAGUUAAUUUUAGUAAAAGAAUUUUCUUUCUUUG
Saimiri boliviensis boliviensis (Bolivian squirrel monkey) is the source of this 569-nucleotide non-coding RNA. The record is from RefSeq and is a predicted model, not a curated record. Lineage: Eukaryota; Metazoa; Chordata; Mammalia; Primates; Cebidae.